Molecule: transfer RNA, 79 nt
Filed under: Camelus bactrianus (Bactrian camel)
Lineage: Eukaryota; Metazoa; Chordata; Mammalia; Artiodactyla; Camelidae
Also listed under: 1 other name
Rfam family: tRNA
About the family: Transfer RNA (tRNA) molecules are approximately 80 nucleotides in length. Their secondary structure includes four short double-helical elements and three loops (D, anti-codon, and T loops).
Source: Rfam by way of RNAcentral
GAGAGUAUAGCUCAGUGGUAGGGUGUGUGCUUGGCAUGCACGAGGUCCUGGGUCCUGGGUUCAAUCCCCAGGACCUCCA